This 519-nucleotide long non-coding RNA is filed under the name Dasypus novemcinctus (nine-banded armadillo). RNAcentral's name for it is "lncRNA (ENSDNOG00000051786.1)". The record is from RNAcentral. Lineage: Eukaryota; Metazoa; Chordata; Mammalia; Cingulata; Dasypodidae.
GGAAAGUUGAAAGGGAGAGGAAAGGGAGAGAAAACCUUCAGACCAUAAUGUAGAUCUAACUCUCUUUCAAACUAUUAUGACUGCAGUCUGCUGACUGCUUUGAGGUCUCUUCAAACAUCAAUAUAAAUGUCCAAAUGUGGAGGGGGAGGCCGUGGGGGAGGUCCAAGAGGCCCCCAGGGCAAAGGAGGUGGAUCCUGUCUCAGCAUUGGCAGUGGAGGGCCUCCCAUGGAGUGGGGCAUGAAGGGAGGUCCUGGAAAAGGAGGGGGACCCCUUGCAGCCAUAUUAACCUUGCCCUCCUCUGUCCACCCAGCAGGGAAUGAGCUUCCAGAGCUGCUGUUCCUCAGGGGAGCUGCACCAGGUCCUGGAUCUCUCUGUGGAGGGGCGUCCACAUCAGGCCUUCCCGGCACCAGUUUCUUAUGUUUCUGGGAUAUUUCCAGUCUAUGUUUCAAAUACUCCAUUGGGUUUCAAUUCCAUCACAGUAGUGCUUGCUGAACAGCCCUGGACUUGACCAAGCAGCAU